UACGUAGGGUGCGAGCGUUAAUCGGAAUUACUGGGCGUAAAGCGUGCGCAGGCGGUUUGUUAAGUCUGAUGUGAAAGCCCCGGGCUCAACCUGGGAACUGCAUUGGAAACUGGCAAGCUCGAGUAUGGCAGAGGGGGGUGGAAUUCCGCGUGUAGCAGUGAAAUGCGUAGAGAUCCGGAGGAACACCGAAAGCGAAGGCAGUCUCCUGGCAAGUUUCUGACGCUCAGGUGCGAAAGCUAGGGGAGCGAACAGG
This 253-nucleotide ribosomal RNA is filed under the name uncultured bacterium. RNAcentral describes it as "partial 16S ribosomal RNA". It matches the Rfam family "Bacterial small subunit ribosomal RNA", at positions 524 to 776 of the family's 1533-position model. The record is from RNAcentral.